Non-coding RNA from Schizosaccharomyces pombe (fission yeast), 320 nucleotides. The record is from the annotation of a GenBank genome assembly. NCBI's taxonomy places the organism in Eukaryota, Fungi, Ascomycota, Schizosaccharomycetes, Schizosaccharomycetales, Schizosaccharomycetaceae.
UUAGUGGGAAAUUAAUGUAAGAACUAUAAAUAUUAAAGUAUUUUUUUUUAUUUAGAGAAAGUUGAUUAUCAUAAAGUUUUUAGAUGCAAGUGUCACACUAACGAUUGUCUCUUUCUAUGUAACUAGAUCAAAAAGGGCUCAUCAAGUCGUUCGUAUAUUUCACAAAUAGUGUGACUGGAAGUAUUGAAAAUUAAGUGGAAGGGAAACUUUGGUGAAAGAAUUGAUUUUUAGAAACAUUUAAUGGGCUACUAGUUUCAAAUAUGAGAAGACUUUUUGAUGGUUUGUGAAUUAUAGACCUUUAGGAGAAAUGCCAUUGGAAU